Molecule: ribosomal RNA, 424 nt
Filed under: uncultured prokaryote
Description: bacterial SSU rRNA
Rfam family: Bacterial small subunit ribosomal RNA
Source: RNAcentral
UGGGGAAUAUUGGACAAUGGGGGCAACCCUGAUCCAGCCAUGCCGCGUGAGUGAUGAAGGCCCUAGGGUUGUAAAGCUCUUUCAGCGAGGAGGAUAAUGACGUUACUCGCAGAAGAAGCCCCGGCUAACUUCGUGCCAGCAGCCGCGGUAAUACGAAGGGGGCUAGCGUUGUUCGGAAUCACUGGGCGUAAAGCGCACGUAGGCGGAUUGAUAAGUUAGGGGUGAAAUCCCGGGGCUCAACCUCGGAACUGCCUUUGAUACUGUCAGUCUUGAGUCCGAGAGAGGUGAGUGGAACUCCGAGUGUAGAGGUGAAAUUCGUAGAUAUUCGGAAGAACACCAGUGGCGAAGGCGGCUCACUGGCUCGGUACUGACGCUGAGGUGCGAAAGCGUGGGGAGCAAACAGGAUUAGAUACCCCCGUAGUCC